RNAcentral lists this non-coding RNA (130 nucleotides) under Acetobacterium woodii. Its description in RNAcentral is "FMN sequence". It matches the Rfam family "FMN riboswitch aptamer (RFN element)". From Rfam's summary of the family: The RFN element is a highly conserved domain that is found frequently in the 5'-untranslated regions of prokaryotic mRNAs that encode for flavin mononucleotide (FMN) biosynthesis and transport proteins. Lineage: Bacteria; Bacillati; Bacillota; Clostridia; Eubacteriales; Eubacteriaceae. RNAcentral also lists the same sequence under 1 other name. The record is from RNAcentral.
AGUCUGUUUCAGGGGGAGGUGCAAGUCCUCACCGGUGGUGAUAUGUAAAAUGCAUUAAGUCCACGAGCCGAAAGGCCGAUUUGGUUAGAAUCCAGAACCGACGGUAUAGUCCGGAUGGAAGAAAUGGCGU